This 454-nucleotide long non-coding RNA is filed under the name Cicer arietinum (chickpea). RNAcentral describes it as "long non-coding RNA (CARI_LNC003611)". The record is from RNAcentral. Lineage: Eukaryota; Viridiplantae; Streptophyta; Magnoliopsida; Fabales; Fabaceae.
GUGAAGUGAUAUAAGAUGAACAUGCUAUUAUAAAUCAGAGAAGCAUGAUUCCUAAAGCAAUGAUAGGAUGAGAUAAUCGAAACUCUUAAUGAGAUAUAUACUCUAUGUGGAGUGGAGUACCUAGCUACAUGAUUACUCUUGAUAAACUCACCUAUGUGAAUGUGGAAGUGGGACCGCUUCCUAUGGAAUUUCGAGACAUAAUUCCUAGAGCGUUCACUAUUUUGGGAUACACGUGCAGGACCAUUAAUGCACGUGCUUUUGAGAAUACACCUUAUGAAGAUGUUGUGUGUGGAUUUGAUGUCAGAUAUAGAGUUCAAUACUAUGAGUCACUCUUGUUGAAUCUGAGUCUUACUCACUAUGCAAAGGUUCAAGUCAAGAGACACCGUUGUUUAUGCACGAUCUUAUAGAAACAUUUGAUGCUAUUUCAGAAACAUUUUUUUAAAUUCAAGUGGNN